CCUACGGGAGGCAGCAGUAAGGAAUCUUGCGCAAUGGGCGAAAGCCUGACGCAGCGACGCCGCGUGGGCGAUGAAGGCCUUCGGGUUGUAAAGCCCUUUUCUGGGGGACGAGGAAGGACGGUACCCCAGGAAUAAGUCACGGCUAACUACGUGCCAGCAGCCGCGGUAAUACGUAGGGGGCAAGCGUUACUCGGAAUUACUGGGCGUAAAGGGUGUGUAGGCGGCCGAGCAAGUCGAAGAUGAAAUCCCAGGGCUCAACCCUGGAAUGGUCUUCGAUACGGCUUGGCUUGAGGGUAGUGGAGGAGAGCGAAAUUCCCGGUGGAGCGGUAAAAUGCGUAGAUAUCGGGAGGAACACCAGAGGCGAAGGCGGCUCUCUAUGCUACUCCUGACGCUGAGGCGCUAAAGCGGGGGGAGCAAACAGGCUUAGAUCCCCUGGUAUU
This 440-nucleotide ribosomal RNA is filed under the name uncultured bacterium. RNAcentral's name for it is "partial 16S ribosomal RNA". It matches the Rfam family "Bacterial small subunit ribosomal RNA", at positions 338 to 794 of the family's 1533-position model. The record is from RNAcentral.